RNAcentral lists this ribosomal RNA (430 nucleotides) under uncultured archaeon. RNAcentral describes it as "bacterial SSU rRNA". It matches the Rfam family "Archaeal small subunit ribosomal RNA", at positions 474 to 903 of the family's 1478-position model. The record is from RNAcentral.
CACCAGCUCUUCAAGUGGUUGGGACUUUUAUUGGGCUUAAAGUGUCCGUAGCCGGUUUAGUAAGUUCCUGGUAAAAUCGGGUAGCUUAACUAUCUGCAUGCUAGGAAUACUGCUAUACUAGAGGGCGGGGGAGGUCUGAGGUACUACAGGGGCAGGGGUGAAAUCUUAUAAUCCUUGUAGGACCACCAGUGGCGAAGGCGUCAGACUGGAACGCGCCUGACGGUGAGGGACGAAAGCCAGGGGAGCGAACCGGAUUAGAUACCCGGGUAGUCCUGGCCGUAAACGAUGCAUACUAGGUGAUGGCACGGCCAUGAGCCAUGUCAGUGCCGUAGGGAAACCGUUAAGUGUGCCGCCUGGGAAGUACGGUCGCAAGGCUAAAAACUUAAAGGAAUUGGCGGGGGAGCACCACAAGGGGUGAAGCCUGCGGUUU